Molecule: ribosomal RNA, 893 nt
Filed under: uncultured bacterium
Lineage: Bacteria
Description: bacterial SSU rRNA
Rfam family: Bacterial small subunit ribosomal RNA
Source: RNAcentral
AGAGUUUGAUCCUGGCUCAGGACGAACGCUGGCGGCGUGCUUAACACAUGCAAGUCGAACGAUGAAGCCCUUCGGGGUGGAUUAGUGGCGAACGGGUGAGUAACACGUGGGCAAUCUGCCCUGCACUCUGGGACAAGCCCUGGAAACGGGGUCUAAUACCGGAUAACACCUUCUCUCGCAUGGGAGGGGGUUGAAAGCUCCGGCGGUGCAGGAUGAGCCCGCGGCCUAUCAGCUUGUUGGUGAGGUAGAAGCUCACCAAGGCGACGACGGGUAGCCGGCCUGAGAGGGCGACCGGCCACACUGGGACUGAGACACGGCCCAGACUCCUACGGGAGGCAGCAGUGGGGAAUAUUGCACAAUGGGCGAAAGCCUGAUGCAGCGACGCCGCGUGAGGGAUGACGGCCUUCGGGUUGUAAACCUCUUUCAGCAGGGAAGAAGCGAAAGUGACGGUACCUGCAGAAGAAGCGCCGGCUAACUACGUGCCAGCAGCCGCGGUAAUACGUAGGGCGCAAGCGUUGUCCGGAAUUAUUGGGCGUAAAGAGCUCGUAGGCGGCUUGUCACGUCGGUUGUGAAAGCCCGGGGCUUAACCCCGGGUCUGCAGUCGAUACGGGCAGGCUAGAGUGUGGUAGGGGAGAUCGGAAUUCCUGGUGUAGCGGUGAAAUGCGCAGAUAUCAGGAGGAACACCGGUGGCGAAGGCGGAUCUCUGGGCCAUUACUGACGCUGAGGAGCGAAAGCGUGGGGAGCGAACAGGAUUAGAUACCCUGGUAGUCUACGCCGUAAACGGUGGGAACUAGGUGUUGGCGACAUUCCACGUCGUCGGUGCCGCAGCUAACGCAUUAAGUUCCCCGCCUGGGGAGUACGGCCGCAAGGCUAAAACUCAAAGGAAUUGACGG